RNAcentral lists this ribosomal RNA (601 nucleotides) under uncultured bacterium. RNAcentral's name for it is "bacterial SSU rRNA". It matches the Rfam family "Bacterial small subunit ribosomal RNA", at positions 61 to 643 of the family's 1533-position model. The record is from RNAcentral.
GUCGAGCGGCAGCGACUUAACUGAACCUUCGGGGAACGUUAAGGGCGGCGAGCGGCGGACGGGUGAGUAAUGCCUGGGAAUAUGCCCUGAUGUGGGGGAUAACUAUUGGAAACGAUAGCUAAUACCGCAUAAUCUCUUCGGAGCGAAGAGGGGGACCUUCGGGCCUCUCGCGUCAGGAUUAGCCCAGGUGGGAUUAGCUUGUUGGUGAGGUAAUGGCUCACCAAGGCAACGAUCCCUAGCUGGUCUGAGAGGAUGAUCAGCCACACUGGAACUGAGACACGGUCCAGACUCCUACGGGAGGCAGCAGUGGGGAAUAUUGCACAAUGGGGGAAACCCUGAUGCAGCCAUGCCGCGUGUGUGAAGAAUGCCUUCGGGUUGUAAAGCACUUUCAGUAGGGAGGAAGGUAGUGUAGUUAACACCUGCAUUAUUUGACGUUACCUACAGAAGAAGCACCGGCUAACUCCGUGCCAGCAGCCGCGGUAAUACGGAGGGUGCGAGCGUUAAUCGGAAUUACUGGGCGUAAAGCGCAUGCAGCGGCCUGUUAAGUCAAUGUGAAAGCCCGGGGCUUAACCUCGGAAUUGCAUUUGAAACUGGCAGGCUA